RNAcentral lists this ribosomal RNA (211 nucleotides) under uncultured crenarchaeote. Its description in RNAcentral is "partial 16S ribosomal RNA". It matches the Rfam family "Archaeal small subunit ribosomal RNA", at positions 468 to 679 of the family's 1478-position model. The record is from RNAcentral. Lineage: Archaea; Thermoproteati; Thermoproteota.
CGGUAAUACCAGCUCUCCGAGUGGUGUGGAUGUUUAUUGGGCCUAAAGCAUCCGUAGCUGGCCAAGCAAGUCCCCUGUUAAAUCCACCGAAUUAAUCGUUGGUGUGCGGGGGAUACUGCUCGGCUUGGGGACGAGAGAGGCCGACGGUAUUUUCGGGGUAGGGGUGAAAUCCUAUAAUCCCGAGAAGACCACCAGUGGCGAAGGCUGUCGG